UACGUAGGUGGCAAGCGUUGUCCGGGAUUAUUGGGCGUAAAGCGCGCGCAGGUGGUUUCGAAAGUCUGAUGUGAAAGCCCACGGCUCAACCGUGGAGGGUCAUUGGAAACUAAUAGACUUGAGUGCAGGAGAGAAAAGUGGAAUUCCUAGUGUAGCGGUGAAAUGCGUAGAGAUUAGGAGGAACACCGGUGGCGAAAGCGGCUUUUUGGCCUGCAACUGACACUGAGGCGCGAAAGCGUGGGGAGCAAACAGGAUUAGAUACCCUGGUAGUCCACGCCGUAAACGAUGAGUGCUAAGUGUUGGAGUCAAAAGACUUCAGUGCUGCAGCAAACGCAUUAAGCACUCCGCCUGGGGAGUACGAUCGCAAGAUUGAA
Molecule: ribosomal RNA, 374 nt
Filed under: uncultured bacterium
Lineage: Bacteria
Description: bacterial SSU rRNA
Rfam family: Bacterial small subunit ribosomal RNA
Source: RNAcentral